This 253-nucleotide ribosomal RNA is filed under the name uncultured bacterium. RNAcentral describes it as "partial 16S ribosomal RNA". It matches the Rfam family "Bacterial small subunit ribosomal RNA", at positions 524 to 776 of the family's 1533-position model. The record is from RNAcentral.
UACGAAGGGGGCUAGCGUUGUUCGGAAUUACUGGGCGUAAAGCGCGCGCAGGCGGUCUUCCAAGUCAGUGGUGAAAGCCCGGAGCUCAACUCCGGAACUGCCAUUGAAACUGUUAGACUUGAGGAUGAGAGAGGUGAGUGGAAUUCCCAGUGUAGAGGUGAAAUUCGUAGAGAUCGGAAAGAACACCAACGGCGAAAGCACUCUGCUGGGCCGACACUGACACUGAGAGACGAAAGCUAGGGGAGCGAAUGGG